AUGGUGCAGUCUUUGUGGAGCUCCCUCGACGACGACGACGAUGACGAAGAUGAUGAGGAUGGUGUUGAGCUGGCGCCGCAGUCGCCGUUGGCUACCAAGUGCUCCAGCGGAGUGAGCGCUGAACAUGCGGCAGCUACUUGCGUGGGUUGGCAGGAGGUGCGGCCGCGGCAUGCUUCGCAUCGUCUGGCGUCUCGAGCUCCGGCUUCGUCCCCUCGGCCCAUCCCUGCGUGGCUCCAUGGUCGAUGCUGCAGGUGUCUUGUUACUGGACACCGUGCAGCGAAGUGCAGGGAUCCCUUUCGGUGCUCUCACUGCCUGGGGAACGGCCAUCGGGCCCGUGAGUGUCGGAACGCUUGGCGUCCCCUCAGCUUGCUCGAUAACCCUUUUGCUUCGUCAUUGUCCCGCCUCGACACCAUUCAUCAUCUUCAUCCACCUUCAUGUCAAGCCCAAUCUAAUGCCACGCUUCCCUCCAAGGCGAUCCAACGUGACUCCUGGGCGUCGGUUGUUUCUUCUUCUGCUGGUUCUACAGCCUCAGCUCAUGUGGCACUUCAGUCUAUCUUUACUGCGCAAGCCGAGCUGCUACGCUCUGAGCUGCAAGGCAUGGCUUCCUUGCAGAUGGCGAAGGCGAUUCAGCCUCUGAGUGAUGUGGUUGAUUCAAUGCACGGAUGGCUGCUGCGGGCUGGGAGCCUUCUGGAGCGUGCAGAGGUUGCUCUGGGCAGGCUAUCUCCUGCGACGGCUGAGGCGCCACUCCCUCCUAUGUUUUAA
RNAcentral lists this ribosomal RNA (762 nucleotides) under Triticum aestivum (bread wheat). RNAcentral's name for it is "partial small subunit ribosomal RNA". Lineage: Eukaryota; Viridiplantae; Streptophyta; Magnoliopsida; Poales; Poaceae. The record is from RNAcentral.